Drosophila busckii is the source of this 487-nucleotide long non-coding RNA. RefSeq lists it as uncharacterized. NCBI's taxonomy places the organism in Eukaryota, Metazoa, Arthropoda, Insecta, Diptera, Drosophilidae. The transcript has 3 exons. The record is from RefSeq and is a predicted model, not a curated record.
UUCGUAUAGCCGCGCUCCAGGUCGAGAUCAUAGUCAUUCAGAUCUUGAGCCUUGUUUUGUUAACAUCUAAAUUUUCUAUUUGUACAUUUUUGUGACUGUUUUCGGGCUUGUUAUGUCUUUUCUGUAGUAGUUGACUCUUUACUGUGUUAGUGGGCCCAGGAACCAAAAAUCGGAACAUUUUCUGAUUAUAUAUCACAACAUCUGUGCCUGUUUCCGUGAAGAACUAAACCAUAAACACGAUGUGUUAUCCAUGCUACUCGUGCUGUGGCUCUUGCUGCUCCCCUUACUGCUAUAGAGGCUGCUAUUCGUGUUGCUCCCCUUGUUGUGGCUCGUGUUCUAAUCCUUGCGGAUCUUGCUGUGGCGGAUGCGGCUGUGGCUCGUGUUGUUGGUAGCAUCUUCAGAACGAAAUCUAGGUACUAAUCUUAGUACAAAUAAAAACAAGUGCUUUGUAGCUUUAAACAUGUGUCUAACAAAUACAUGCAUAUAA